RNAcentral lists this small RNA (581 nucleotides) under Pan troglodytes (chimpanzee). Its description in RNAcentral is "sense intronic". Lineage: Eukaryota; Metazoa; Chordata; Mammalia; Primates; Hominidae. The record is from RNAcentral.
AUUACAUAUCUGAAUCACGAGGCAUUUAGGACGGGAAUGAAAAGAAGAUCGGGGGAGGUGUUUUAAAAACCAGGUUCUCCUCUUAGCUUGACCAUUCAGGAGCUGAGGGACCUGGGCAAGUCCCUCCACCUCUCUGGGCCUCUGCAUAUAAAGGGGCGUUUGGGCUAAAUGAUUUGUAAACCUCUGUUCUUCCAAGAUUCUCCCCUCUCAGGGAACUGAAAAGAUGAGAGUGUUUCUGUUUAACAGCACUACAAAAAGCCUAAUUGUGACAACAAGCGCCUCUGCCCUAGUGAGGAGGAAAGAUUUUUCAGAGCUUCAGCAAUCUGAUUUUUUUUUAAAGAUAAAACUGAUUUUCUCAAUCGACUCUCUUCAGUCUAACCCAAUAAAUACGCAUUGCAAUCAUUUUAAUUUUUGUAAGAUCUUGAUGGGGAAAACAGAGGGAAAGAACACCUAAAACACGAGAUUAUUCCACAACCAAGGACGAAAGAGAAAUAGCUUUGACUGAGGGCUUGUGCUUGCUAGACACUGCGCCUAAUAUGUACAUGGUCACCUUAAGUGUCACCUCAGCCUUCUGAGAUAAG